UAUUAUUAAAAAUUUAUAUUAAUUAUUUAUAUAUUAUUAUUUUAUAAAAAAAAAUUAAUUAAAAUGGCAGUAUUUUUUAAAAUUAGAGGAUUUUGUUAUUUAAUAGAUAAUACACUUUAUAAAUUAUUUAAUUUUUUUUAUUGUAUAUUGUUGUAUUAAACUAAUAUUUUAUUAUUAUUUAAUUAGUAUUAUUUUUAAAAAAUUAAUUCAAAUAAACAUGCAUAUUAUAAUUAAAUUUUAAAUGAAAUACAAUUUAAAAAUAAAAUGGAUUUAUAUUUGUAAAAAUAUUUUGAAAUUGGAUUUAAUAGUAAAAAUAAAUAAAUAUUUAAUUUGAAUAAUUUUAAAAAUAUGUACAUAUUGCCCGUCGUUUUUAAUUUUUUUUAAAAUAA
RNAcentral lists this ribosomal RNA (389 nucleotides) under Rhopalomyia tanaceticola. Its description in RNAcentral is "partial 12S ribosomal RNA". The record is from RNAcentral. Lineage: Eukaryota; Metazoa; Arthropoda; Insecta; Diptera; Cecidomyiidae.